Molecule: ribosomal RNA, 468 nt
Filed under: uncultured bacterium
Lineage: Bacteria
Description: partial 16S ribosomal RNA
Rfam family: Bacterial small subunit ribosomal RNA
Source: RNAcentral
GACGAACGCUGGCGGCGUGCUUAACGCAUGCAAGUCGAACGGAAAGGCCCUGCUUUUGUGGGGUGCUCGAGUGGCGAACGGGUGAGUAACACGUGAGUAACCUGCCCUUGACUUUGGGAUAACUUCAGGAAACUGGGGCUAAUACCGGAUAGGAGCUCCUGCUGCAUGGUGGGGGUGGGAAAGUUUCGGCGGUUGGGGAUGGACUCGCGGCUUAUCAGCUUGUUGGUGGGGUAGUGGCUUACCAAGGCGUUGACGGGUAGCCGGCCUGAGAGGGUGACCGGCCACAUUGGGACUGAGAUACGGCCCAGACUCCUACGGGAGGCAGCAGUGGGGAAUAUUGCAAGAUGGGCGGAAGCCUGAUGCAGCAACGCCGCGUGCGGGAUGACGGCCUUCGGGUUGUAAACCGCUUUCGCCUGUGACGAAGCGUGAGUGACGGUAACGUGUAAAGAAGCACCGGCUAACUACGUG